AGUGAACGCUGCGGGAGGCCUAACACAUGCAAGUCGAACGGCAGCACAGUAAGAGCUUGCUCUUACGGGUGGCGAGUGGCGGACGGGUGAGGAAUACAUCGGAGUCUACUUUUUCGGGGGGGAUUAAGUAGGGAAACUUACGCUAAUACCGCAUACGACCUACGGGUGAAAGCAGGGGAUCUUCGGACCUUGCGCGGUUGAAUGAGCCGAUGUCGGAUUAGCUAGUUGGCGGGGUAAAGGCCCACCAAGGCGACGAUCCGUAGCUGGUCUGAGAGGAUGAUCAGCCACACUGGAACUGAGACACGGUCCAGACUCCUACGGGAGGCAGCAGUGGGGAAUAUUGGACAAUGGGCGCAAGCCUGAUCCAGCCAUACCGCGUGGGUGAAGAAGGCCUUCGGGUUGUAAAGCCCUUUUGUUGGGAAAGAAAAGCAGCAGGUUAAUACCCCGCUGUUCUGACGGUACCCAAAGAAUAAGCACCGGCUAACUUCGUG
RNAcentral lists this ribosomal RNA (491 nucleotides) under uncultured bacterium. Its description in RNAcentral is "partial 16S ribosomal RNA". It matches the Rfam family "Bacterial small subunit ribosomal RNA", at positions 29 to 507 of the family's 1533-position model. The record is from RNAcentral.